UACGUAGGGGGCUAGCGUUGUCCGGAAUCAUUGGGCGUAAAGCGCGUGUAGGCGGCCCGGUAAGUCCGCUGUGAAAGUCGGGGGCUCAACCCUCGGAUGCCGGUGGAUACUGUCGGGCUCGAGUCCGGAAGAGGUGAGUGGAAUUCCUGGUGUAGCGGUGAAAUGCGCAGAUAUCAGGAGGAACACCAAUGGCGAAGGCAGCUCACUGGGACGGUACUGACGCUGAGACGCGAAAGCGUGGGGAGCAAACAGG
Molecule: ribosomal RNA, 253 nt
Filed under: uncultured bacterium
Lineage: Bacteria
Description: partial 16S ribosomal RNA
Rfam family: Bacterial small subunit ribosomal RNA
Source: RNAcentral